GCCUGAUCAUCAAUUGGAUCCCAGGAAUGCCAACAGCUGCACUCGUUAUCAUGACUCAUCUUAAAAAGAGACACACAGACCUCUGAGCUUCUUUGAAAAGGUUCCUGUCAUGGGGGAUCAACAGAAAAUCAUGUUUGCUCUAACUCACGCUUGAGUACUUACUUCGUCUCUGGGAAAAAUGGUGCAGAGGUCCUCGGGGGAACAGUGAUGUCCCUCCAGCAGCCGGCCUUCUUAUUUGCAGUUCGCCUUGGGGAAACCAAAGAGAAUACUUCUGAUAAAACACCGAUGAUAUUUGUCUGAGUCACGUUAAAUGUCGUUGAUAAAUUGGUAAAUUUAUGAAAUAUUGCCUCCAAUCAUUGGCUUAAUUGCUGUCCUGGAGAGAAAAAUAAACCCCACACUUUUUGACAACUUUCAAACUUCCAGUUGCAAAAUGACCAUUCUAGGACCUACGCCUGAGCUAAACUUAUGAUUACCCACAUAAUUAAGUUGCAAAAGACAGACUGCUGAUUAUGAUGACCAGAGCUGGACUCGAGGAUCAGAUCAACCUGUUAAACUUAGUUGAAUACCAUAUGUAUAUGCGCUACCAAAACCCUGUGCUUUGGCAUGAAACAGACUCUUAACGGACACGAAGUCGGCUUGAGGCAUUUUCAUAUAUAGGAGCACACCCACUAUCUGCUGCUUGUGUGUUUCCUUUUUCUUGUUCAUGACCAUGAUCUGAUGCA
This is a long non-coding RNA of Phyllopteryx taeniolatus (common seadragon), 722 nucleotides long. RefSeq lists it as uncharacterized. The transcript is spliced from 3 exons. NCBI's taxonomy places the organism in Eukaryota, Metazoa, Chordata, Actinopteri, Syngnathiformes, Syngnathidae. The record is from RefSeq and is a predicted model, not a curated record.